Molecule: small nucleolar RNA, 279 nt
Organism: Erinaceus europaeus (western European hedgehog)
Lineage: Eukaryota; Metazoa; Chordata; Mammalia; Eulipotyphla; Erinaceidae
Source: Ensembl
UACAGUUGAAGCCCUCAGGAACUUUGGACAAUGGGAAUAGGGUUGAAAGCACCUCCCCAAACGUCUGUAAUCUUGGUGGGCUUACAGAGCCAUGUGUGUCUGCUGUAAGGGCAGACCAACAUGAUACUCCUACUUCUGAACUACCUCUCCAGCUGCCAGUGAGAAGUUGUGAUGACUGAAGUGAGGGAGUAGGGACGGGGCAAAAAAAAGAAAAGAAAAGAAAAGAAAGCACCUCCCCUCCCUAUCCCAAGACAGUGUUGUCUUUAGCAAGAGCUGUAU